AAGGGCUCCAUAUGAGAGCCUAGCAAACCUGAUUACCAUAUCACAUCUUUUACUGGUACAGAGGAGCGAGCCCCUGAACUUUCCUACCAACUUGCCCAGAGGAUGGGCACCGUUAGAAGAGGAAAGGAUGUAGUUUAAAAAGCCAUCAUCAAUUGAAACAACAAAAAUGGAGGACUCGGAUUCUGCAGAAAACACAUCCUGAGACACAACCCCAAUUAACUCCGCAUGUUUGUGGUGAUGACUGAGCAAGAAGAGAUCAUGGGAAGUUGACAAGUCUGGACUGAAUCAAGAGAAUCAGCAUAAAUCUCAACCGAUGCCUAAUUUUAGAGAUGUCUGGUCCUCUAAACGCGUCUUUGCCACAGCCAGAUGGGGUGGGAGACAACAUUGGAGGGUGGAAACGAGAGAGGUGCCAAACUGAAGCUCAAAAGGUCAGAGCAUCUACCAUUUUGAAGCCAGUGCAUGACAGACGGUGUGAAGAAGGCCAUCAAGAUACUCCCAUGGCCUUUGUGCCCCUCAAGAUACUGCUUCUCCUAUGCAUUUUGCUCUGGUGAUGGUGGACCUCAUCAUACACAUGCCGUCAUCAUUCCUAAAUAUAGAACUAAGAAAAUAAGAACUAGGAGGGAUUUCCAGGGGUGUCACAUUCAGCAAGAGUUACUUGUCUCACUCCAGGGCUGGAACUGCCUACCAGGUGAGAUCACUUCCUGUCUACACUCUGCUUCCUCCAUUGUCCUCUCAACACAUGAGCUUGGACACUCAGUCACCUAUCACCAUUGUAAGUCUUUUUUCUUCCAUUUUCACGGGCUCUG
This 806-nucleotide long non-coding RNA is filed under the name Mus spicilegus (steppe mouse). RNAcentral's name for it is "lncRNA (ENSMSIG00000019730.1)". Lineage: Eukaryota; Metazoa; Chordata; Mammalia; Rodentia; Muridae. The record is from RNAcentral.